UUUUUGACGAAAGCUCUCACCUCGCCAACGAUCGAGUGGGGCGUCUUCGAGGCAGGAUUCUCAGAAGCGAUAAGCUCCU
RNAcentral lists this non-coding RNA (79 nucleotides) under Favella ehrenbergii. The record is from RNAcentral. RNAcentral also lists the same sequence under 1 other name. Lineage: Eukaryota; Ciliophora; Spirotrichea; Tintinnida; Xystonellidae.